Molecule: long non-coding RNA, 6820 nt
Filed under: Phocoena sinus (vaquita)
Lineage: Eukaryota; Metazoa; Chordata; Mammalia; Artiodactyla; Phocoenidae
Description: lncRNA (ENSPSNG00000016883.1)
Source: RNAcentral
GAAACAGACAUGAACUCUGGAAAAGCAAUGUCUGGACAAUAAUCAGGACACAUCAUGACCUGAAAUUUUAUUUAGAGAGUUCACAAUUCGUUUUUCGGGUUAUUUGUUCCACGCUUCUUUGACAGAGCUUGAGGGAAACCUGUAAUGCAAAGUAGUAGAGACAGGUACAGAUAUUUAAGAAAUUUGGUUCUCAUGAGGGAUCUUUCCAAGGAUCUGUCGAAGUUUUUGCAGACGCCCCUUCUGCUGCCAUUUAGGAUCUUUGGAAAUAUCAAAGUUCGUUUGUUUGGGGAAGAAAUGUUAGGCGGUGUUCGAUCGUAUUUAAUCCAGGUGGGAGAAAUGUGAGAAGGUGCAGAGGCAAGCCUUACUGAUCGGAGUGUCAGUCAGCACGGGGUUUCUGAGCAAUAUAACUGCCCACUCAAGCUAAACAGGGCAUCCGUUCUUCUGCCUUGACAUUACAUAAUUUCCCCAGGUAAUCUCAUUCCAUCUGUUCUACUUUUUGUACUUGUGGGAAUUAACUCCAGACUCACGACACCAGACGCAUGCACCCAACUUCAGCAACCCGAGUCACCUUGUGUCAUACAGUGAACUCUUAGAGCUGCCCUUCCUUCUCUUCUGUCUACUCCCUUGUCUCCUGGAGCAAGGGUCUGAAGAUCCUUGCUCCUCUAAGUGCGGUCCAUGACCCGCAGCAUCAGUGUCACCCGGCUUGUUAGAAAUGCAGAGGCUCCAGCCCCAGUCCAGACCUACUGAAUUUGAAUCUGCAUUUUAACAAGCUCUCUAGGUAAUUCUAUGCACAUUAAAGUUUGAGACAUGCCGCCUUAGACUUUGCUGUCUCUCACCACCUCACAUCCAGGCAAUCAAUUAGUAAUGUCAAAAGGUUGUCUCUCCUCAGUAAUCUCAAUAAUCAGGAUAGUGGGUUGGGAUUGUAUCUGUUGAAAAGCACACCGUGGAGGACUAAAGCUCUCCAGUGCACUGCAGCCUCCAGCACUCCCUGCUACCUCCUUGCCUCUUUCAAUCAUUUACCUGCCUGCCCCUGAAGACAUCUGUUCCCAAGCAUCCUGCCCUGGCCACCCUCACUUCACUGCACCAGUCCCGAGCUUCAUUUUCUUUGGACUAAGUGACUGCAAGGGCCUCUGAACUGGCCUCCAGCGUCGUUCUGAUCUGCUCACCCUCAGAUCCACCUGCCUAUAAAUCCAGAUUCCACACCUGCUGAAAUUCCUUGGUGGCUUCUCAUCACUCACUGCUCUUUUCUAGAAGUUACUCCCUGAGAACACCUGGCUGAUUCUGUUCUCUGUUUUGUACCUCCCCCCCGCCCCCCGCCUCCACUUCCCUGAACUCUCCCUUCCUGCUCAGCCCUUGGACAUCACUGUAGUGUUACCUACCCUGUCUGCUCUUGACCCCCUCCCAGUCCUGUCCUCUACUACCAAAGGAGCACCACCCAGAGGAAAGCUGUGUGGCUGUGCUCUCCCACAGGGGAAUGUGAUGCCCUUGGGAGCAGGGGCUGUAUUUUUAUUUGUACCUGAUAUCGUGUGGCUGAGUGCAAGCUCUGAUAAUUAUAGAGAGUGAUCAAUAGAUGUUUCUUAACUUGAAUUUGUCACACAGACUAGGAAAUUUGGUUUGUUUUCCUGGAGUUAUUCACAUAGCUAAGUCUUCCCCCCACCCCUUUCUGGAACUCGGGUAUGCAUAAUUAGAUCAAUCAUAGUUCUUGGUUUAUGGCAGAUUAUCAUUGGUCCAUGCUCGCCUCCCUUUAUUUAUUUAAUAGUAAAUUAAUAUGCACUCCCGACACCUCUUCCUCCCCAACAUGAGAACCAAUACCUUAUUGUUCAUCUUUAUUUGGUUUUGUAUCUCUCCUUUGUAUCAUCCCCCACUUCCCUGCCACCUCCCCUGCCCACCCUAUCCUUGACAACUUAUUCUUGAAUUCCCUUGACCAUUUAUUCUGAGCCAGGCAUGCUGAUGAGCAAGUCCCUGAUUAACUCACGGAAUCCUCCAAACAACUCCGUGAAGUAAGCAAUCCAAUACAAUUCUCUCUUUUUUCUAUUUUAUACUAUUUGAGGGCAGUGGUUACUAUCAUCUUGAUUAGGAAUGGUAUCACAUGGUAUCCUCACCUUGUUGCUGUUUUUUUACUUUUUUAAAAUCGAAAUUGGCUCACAGUAUUUCUCCAGUAGGCAUGGGGUUGAUUUUUGGUUUUAAGUGUAUGUUCAUUAGUACCCUUAGAUACUUGCUUCACUGCAUCACUGUUUUCCUUUAAUAAGGUUUAUAUUUGGAAAGGCUGAUGUUUAUGGCCUUCUUGCCAUCUACUAAGCUAAAUCUGUUAUGAUACGGAUUCUCCCCUGUUACUAUGAGAAAUCACGAUGUUUUUCCUUCUGUAAAAAUCCUAUUGAGUUUCUAGUUCUUUGUUUAAAUUGAAUAUGGCUCAUUCUUCUCUCUCUCAAUCUUUGGGAUCAAAAUAAUGUUUUCUCUUAAGAUAAACAUUUCAGUUUUAUCUAUAUUUUAUAAUUUGUUGUAAGUAGAGUGAUUAUAUGAAUAUAUUUAUGAAUUAAAUGUAGAACAGGUUCUGCUGAAGUGUACUAGUGUAAUACUAGGACUGACCAUUUGAAAUUUGAACUUUCAAGAUCAUACUGUAGAGUCACUUUAAUUAUAAGAAUGAUUUUUUGAAAGAUUGUCAGAUUUUUCCAGUUCCUUCACUUGACUCUUUCUUGGGGAAUGGAAUUUUGUUACAUUUGGAAAUUUCCUCUUUUUUAAUAUAGAUUUUCUUUCCAUUUAUUGAAUUUAUUGAUGUAUUUCCUACUCACAUACUUUAUAGUUUUGUCCAUUCUUCUUAGCUUAAAAAUCUAUUAACUUUAGGUGUCAAUCAUUCAUUUUCAAAAGAAUCAUCUACUGGUUUUGGUUGUCAAUUUCAUUGCAUUUUCCUUCUCUAUAUUGUUUGUUUCUUUAUCGAGUUUGCCUUUUCUAAUUUUAUUUUGGCUUGUUAAUAAUUUGUUCCCUCAGUUCUUCAUCAAGAGGCUUGGUUUAUUAUGCUUUUCUUUUUUCUUUUCAUUUUGUCACCAAUAUAAUCACAGUCGUAGAGCAACGAAUUCUCUGAAUUCUCUUUCCUUCUGCUUCGCAGCUUUCCAGCAUUUUGUUAUCUUAUUUACCAAACAUAUUUUAUUGUGUUCUGAAUUCCUUCCCAGGUUCAGCCUUUGAGAUACUUUGGUUUUCAGUUUGCAUAUACUGGAACAUUAUUCAAGAUUGAUUUUUUAUUUGUUUGUUUGUUUUUGUGGUACGCGGGCCUCUCACUGUUGUGGCCUCUCCCGUUGCGGAGCCAGGCUCCGGAUACGCAGGCACAGCGGCCAUGGCUCACGGGCCCAGCCACUCCGCGGCAUGUGGGAUCUUCCCGGACCAGGGCAUGAACCUGUUUUGUCAUAAUGUAGGCCAAAUUUUUGACUUACUGCAUGAUCCAUUUUUGUAAGUCAUUUGGUUAGAACUGGAAAUCUAGUGUGUUUCCUUUUUUUUUUUUUUUUUUUUCCAUUUACUCCUAUAUGGCAGUUAGGUUAUUCCAGGCAAAUUUCAUUGUCUGCUUAAGCUGUCCUGUUCUGGCAGGGGCCUUUCAAGUCUUACUCUUGUAGUUCUCUCUGGCCACGUCAUCCCAGCUUUCCCUCUUUUGUUUACAUUGCUGCUAGCUUUUCAUUUAUAUUUACUUAUUUGCUGGCUAGACUAGAACACUUAGAUUUGCUGGCUAGACUAGAACAAAUAGAUUUGCUUUAAUGUACCUUGAGGCUCUUUGUCUAAUUCCCUAAUAGCUAGCGUGUUUGGAGCGCCCACUACCUACUAUGGUAGUUGCUUUUACAUACUUUCUCUCGUUUACUCUUCACAGUAUCCCUGCAAGUUAGGUGGCAUUAUUCUCAUUUGACAGAGGAAGAAGCUGAAGCAUUGAGAUGCUGGACACAGUUCCCCAAGUCACAUGACUCGUAGGAGAAUGACCUAGCAGACAGGGCUGUCUCCUUGCUGGAGCUGGCUCUGAAGCAUGGCCUUCCUGUGACAGUGACAGUGACAGUGGGUUCUGUACACACUGGGUACACCUGGGAAUGUCCCCUGAUUUUUAGUCUGUGUGCAUUUUUUGGAUAGGUAAUCAGUUACACUAAAAAAAAAUAAUUCAAUGGAACUCUAAAAAAAUAGGAAGUUUGUUCUAUUUAUGUUUUUUUUUACAUUUGAGAUAUUUCACAAGAUAAGCUACCAGAUGUAAUUGGGAUGUAAUUUGUGCUGUUCUCCACUAUCCUGAUUGUUUUUGCAUUUUCUUGCUUUCACGUUUCUGGGAUGAACUUAAACUCUGAUUUUCUGUGGAACUAAAUUGGAAGAUAAUGAUAUGUGCUUAUUCUGUAUAGGCAGCUCUGAACUUUGCUAUAUGUGAUUUGUGUACCAUUGGUAGUGUAAUUAACCCUUCUCAACAAUCUCUUUAUUCAGGAUUCAGUGUUCUUCAGAUUUCUUAACUCUGAUGUUAAUAGAUCAGCAGUGACUCUAGGAAAAAGCUGCUCACGUUGGUGCUACUAUGGCCUCAUCUGUUCGACACUUCGCCCCUCACUCUUCUGUCUCCCCCAGACUAGCUCCUUGGGGAGUUAGUAAGGGCUGCUCUGACAGUGGUGUCCCCUCACUCACCCCAUCUUUCCUUCCCACAUGUGUGGCUCAGGUAUGAAGCCAGGAAGAAUUGUCCUUAGGUCUCCUGUCUCUGAUCCCCUACUUCUGCUCUAAAUACCCAGCACAUCGGAUAUUUGAAAAAUAGAGACUGGCUCACAAAAUCAUAAGCAGGGGGCACUUGGGAGAUCGACCAACUUGUCUCAGGCCUCUGUAGCUGUUUCCCACCUUAAACACUAGUCAACAUUGCCACACACUACUGAGCUUGAAGGAGGCUGUACUUGAUGGAGCAAUAAUCUGGAAUAUUACUGCAUGGUUUUUUUUGGAUUCUAGAAUCCUUUCCCCUCACAGUUCAAAAGCGUAUCUGUUCUAGUGUCAGGUUUGUGUUUCAGCAUGCUUUUUGAAUAGCAUUACAGGCAAUAAGGAAAUGCUUUUAUUUCCAUUUUUUCAUUAGCAUUUGUAGUAAAAUUGUUUAAUUCUUGUUAUUUUAUAUUAGCGACUUCCAUCUUGGCCUCUUUUCUAGAACUGAUGUGGCGUUUAGCAUUUUCAGUAAGUCAUAUUCCAUCAUUAUAGUAACAGACUCCCUUGAUCUUCUGAAAACAAUCGACUAAUGUUAUAAACAAUUAUAACAUUUUGCUAACAUUAAAUUAUUAGGGGGAGGGUCAUGAGUCUCCUGCAUAAGCUCUUCCUACCCUAUUGCUUUUGUUGUGACCUGCUCAGGUGUUGGUCUUAUUGACAAAUUGUUUCAGAUCAUUUAGGUCAUGAAAUACUUUCUUCUGUCUUCAAACAAACUGAGGGUUUUGCCUCAGUUCUGGGCCUGGGUGAUAAUUUCCUUUGUGCAUAUUUUCUUUCAGGCUCUUCUUUCUCUUUCCCUAAAUCAGAAGGAUUCUUUUCUUUGCAUCUUAAAUGUUAUCUCAUCUUCUUUCUUGGCAGGUACUACAGAGUAUCCUGUUUUUUGUUUUUUUAAUGCAGUUUAAAAACUUGACCAUUGGGUUAUGGUUUUGUUGUUUUUGUUUACUUGGGUGGCUUUAACUUGAAGAUUGCUUCUUAAUAAUUUAUGUCAGUAGUCUCCUUCAAUUCUUAGAAAUUAAAAAAAUUACUUCUGUGAUUUUGGUUCGUACUGUUCAGUUUCUCAAACCUUUCUGCUCUCCAUGGUUUUCUUGGCCCAUGAAUUUAUCUUGCACUGUUAACAUCCAUUUGUGCACAUUGUACUGGUAUAUUUUUAAAUCAGUUAAUUCUCUGGAAUGGGAUAUGGUUUUGAUUUUUGUCAGCUCGUUUAUACCUUUAGUUUCCUUCUGAAGAAAUAGUUCAUAAACUUUUUGGAAUAAUGGACUCUUUUCUGGGCUUGAACACAACUACUGAUGGUCCUACAGAAAAACUGUGGACCCCUUCCCUUGCCCAGAAAAAGGAGGAUACAUAAUUUCAGAGCUUCGCAGAUCCCAAGUUUCUGUAUGAUUCUCCCCUCCUUUUUAAAAACUCCAUGGAGAACAUGCUUGUAUUAAAAACAAGCCCUAAACUAGUUUUUAAUAAUGACAUUAAGUAUUAUGUUCUUCCUCUAUAAAUAGACAUUUACCUUGGGGAAAUGUCAGUGGCUCAUUUGGUAUUUACACGUUUUUCAUUUUAUUAUUCUAAGUAGCCUGUAUCCUCCUCCUUCUCACCCUCAUAGAAGUGGACAUUGCGGAGGAAGAGGCAGGAGCCUCUGACACUCAGGCCCAGGGGAUGAGGCCAGUGACCCAGGAGACAAGAGUGUCAUGACAUGUGAACAUUCUUAGGUGAUGAUUUGUAUGGUUUUUAAUAAUUUAUUUUUAAAAAGUCCCCUCAGCUUUAUUGAAAUAUAAUUGACAUAUGACAUUAUGCACAUGUAUUUUAAAUAUCAAGCACCACAAAUUCGCUUUAGCAAACAUGUAAUGCUCAAGUCUCUGCCAGGUGUCAGACAGGCCUCCUGUUUCAUCUACAUGUGGCUUGAGUGGGACCUCUUACUGUCAGAUCUCUCUGUGCAUUUCUUUCAUACAAAAGUGUUUUAGGGCUUCCCUGGUGGCGCAGUGGUUGAGAGUCCGCCUGCCGAUGCGGGGGACACGGGUUCGUGCCCCGGUCCGGGAAGAUCCCCCAUGCCGCGGAGCGGCUGGGCCCGUGAGCCAUGGCCGCUGGGCCUGCGCGUCCGAAGCCUGUGCUCCGCAAAGGGAGAGGCCACAACAGUGAGAGGCCCGCGUACCGC